Molecule: ribosomal RNA, 243 nt
Filed under: uncultured Actinomycetales bacterium
Lineage: Bacteria; Bacillati; Actinomycetota; Actinomycetes; Actinomycetales
Description: partial 16S ribosomal RNA
Rfam family: Bacterial small subunit ribosomal RNA
Source: RNAcentral
UACUCGAGUGGCGAACGGGUGAGUAACACGUGGGUGAUCUGCCCUGCACUUCGGGAUAAGCUUGGGAAACUGGGUCUAAUACCGGAUAGGAGCCAUCUUUAGUGUGGUGGUUGGAAAGUUUUUUUGGUGUAGGAUGAGCUCGCGGCCUAUCAGCUUGUUGGUGGGGUAAUGGCCUACCAAGGCGGCGACGGGUAGCCGGCCUGAGAGGGUUUACGGCCACAUUGGGACUGAGAUACGGCCCAG